RNAcentral lists this long non-coding RNA (186 nucleotides) under Fukomys damarensis (Damara mole-rat). RNAcentral describes it as "lncRNA (ENSFDAG00000025545.1)". The record is from RNAcentral. Lineage: Eukaryota; Metazoa; Chordata; Mammalia; Rodentia; Bathyergidae.
UAGCAACUGUAGACUGAAUCUUUUCAAACUGAGAGAAAAAAAAAACCAACAAAAAAAAGACGUCUCCAAGUUCCAGACCAUCAAAAGAUGAAGGUUCUUGAAAGCGUGGAACCUAGGGCCAGAUAUUUAGCUUAAUGGCACUGCACUUGCCUUGAAAGCGCAAGGUCCUGAAUUUUAUACCUGGGG